This is a long non-coding RNA of Gallus gallus (chicken), 4115 nucleotides long. RefSeq lists it as uncharacterized. The record is from RefSeq and is a predicted model, not a curated record. Lineage: Eukaryota; Metazoa; Chordata; Aves; Galliformes; Phasianidae. The transcript is spliced from 3 exons.
GCAGCCUGUUCCAGUUCUCCAUCACCCUUAGUGUGAAGAAGUCCUUUGCAUAUUGGUGUAGAACUUCCUAUGCUCCAGUUUAUGGCCAUUUCUCCUCGUCACAGACCGCUGAAAACUGGUUUGUCAUGUUGCUUUGACUCCCACACUUAAGAUAUUUAUAAAUAUUAAUAAGAUCCCCUCUCAGUCUUUUUUCAGAGCUGAACAGACCCAGGUGAUUCAUCCUUUCCUCAUAAGAGAGGUGCUCUAUGGCCUUUAUCAUCUUUGUGGCCCUAUGCUGGACUCUUUCCAGGAGAUCCCUGUGGUUUUUUUUUUUUUUUUUUUUCUUUUUUCUUUUUUUUUCCCAAGGCUAUUAACAAGAGGGGAAAGCAAUGAAGAGGACAGGAGGAAGAAAACAGAAAUUAUUGCACUCAUAUGAAACACUAGACUAAGAAAAUCUCUCAGCUAAUUGUUUGUAAGAUGGACUAGCUACAGGGUUAUAAACUAAUUAGGAUAUAAAUCUCACUGUGUGAUAGGAUACUUACUAAAAAAAUAAAAUAAAAUCUAACCUUUAUUAUCAAGCACAUUCUGCUCUACAGAUCAAAAUUAACAUUUAAAUUCAGCCUACUGACUUCUCGCCAAAAACCUAAUUCUGUUACCAGGAUUAUGCACGUUCUUUUUUUAAACUGUGCUUUUUCUCCUUUUAUUUUGUUCACUCUCAUAAUUCUCAGAACUGUAUCUCUGUCAUUUAGAUGCCAGUUACAAUUCUCUUGCCAAUUUAGAUUGGAUGUAGAUAGAAUCCUAGUAUCAAGAAUCCACUGAUUCUUUAUGAGUGGCUGUUUAUUGCAUGUUAUCCAUUCUAUUAAAUUCUUUAAGUUGUGAAUUCCUUUUAUAGUUUAUAUAUAAGGUAACAAAUUACUGAAGUCCAAUCAUGCAUCUAGGCCCACGGUCUAGUUAAGUUUGUAUGCAAACAAGACACUGGGACCAUGAUACUGGAUUCAUUGUCUUGAGAAGCAUACCCUUCUCUACUGAAAGAGGCUACAUGAUGGUACCUGAAUCAAGCAAAUUCUAUGUGCUUGUAGACCAGUGCUGCUACAGCAAGUGACAUCCACAGAGCAGUUAAGACAUAGGAAGGUAAGUUGGGUAACCCAAGAGGUAUGAAUCAGUAAAUUAACAAAAUUGAAAACAAAACCAGUGAAGUGAUAAUGGUCAAAAUGGUGUUUGCCCAUUUCUGCAAAACAGGCAUGAGACUUCAUUGCUAAAACUUAGACAGUGAGUGCCAAUUGAGAUGCCCAGGUACACUAUCUAGCUCCAUCUAUCUGUAGUUUCUAGGGAGUCAGCUCAGAUGCAGUGAUGUAACUAGAAAUGUGAACCAGAAGAAUAACAGUCAGGCUGAGACACAGAGAAGACCAAGUCAAAGAUGUUACUCUGGCUAUAACUCUAGUGGCAAGGAUGGUGGUAGUGUUUUGAAACUACAGGACUGCUCUUACCAAGGGUGAUAGGUCAGAAUGGCCUUCAGUCUUCCUGUUGCUGUACAUUUCAGACCUCUUACAAGUUUGGAGUAUAUCAAGGACCAUCCUGAGCCAAUGUUUUGUGUCAGAUCAGGGUGGUUAAAUUCCACUACUUUGUGAGUACUGCUAGUUUUUAUAGCCAGUGGUCUGGAAAUAAAGUCCUCUGGGACUACUGCCACAUCCAGCUGAAUUCUGCCUCAUCAAUACAAAUAAUGAGGUGAGUGUUAGAAUUUGGAUUUAUAGGCAUAUACCUUAAGAUGCUUGUAGCCUUACCUGUAUAAAAAAGUAGCUGUAUUCACAUUUUCACUUGUUUUAAAGUUUUUUAGAGAAAAUUAAGUAAUGAGGAAACUUUCAAACCAAGUGAGUUUUACAAAAGUUCAUUUAACCCAACAAUUUCAUAAAGUACUGCAUCUCCAAUAUUAUUGUUGCCAUGGUAAUGUCUGGUUUGUUAUUUAUUACUGAAGUAAAUUGUUUUCAAAGUCUGCCACCAGUUUCACACUGCAAAAGGAUGAAUUUUAAUCUCUAGUUCUUUUUACAUGCAUUCACUUAUACUACACACUAAUUAACAAACUAUCACACUUUAUUUAUGAUAUUGUGAGUGACUUCUAUUUUUUAAUCUCCAUUCUUGUUCACGAUAUGGGGGAGAAUAACAUUCAGAAGUAAAAGUGUAACCCAUGUUGAAAUUACAUUCUUUUCCUAUUGGUAACAAAAAUGCAUACAGUGCUUUCAAUAUGUCUGUCUUUAUCUUGUACUUAUUCAAGAUUAUUCACCACACAUUACGACAUAUUUUGGGCUUGGAUUAGCUUGCUUAGACUUCUGAGCCUUGUUGUGAUGAUAAAGGCAUUUUCCUUGCGAUUCCUGUGACUUUAGGAAGUCUCUCUUCUCUUUUUUAGAUUGAAUCUGUUGUGGAAGUUGGAGUGUAACUAUUUGUGUUUCACAUCUGAUGGAUGCCUUCAGUUUAUCUGCUCUCCAGAAGACUUCCGGAAGACACAAGUUUUGUUCUUAACAUCAAUUUUGGUAGCCAGCAGAAGAAUGAAUAUGUUAAAAUCUUAAGCAAAUCAAAUCCAGUUACAAGAUGAGAACAAUGCUGCAAAGAACUUUUUACUUGGAGUUUUCAUUAGAAGGCUCCAGCUAACACCAUGAGGUGGUCUCUGGCCAAUCUGAGAGCCAGGAUGGUGGGAAGAAUUUGAACCAGUGCUUCAGAGAAAGAACCCUGUUCCUACAGUUUAGCAUCUCUGUCUACUUUUGCAAGUAAGAGCAAUAUAUGAGAAAAUGAAAAUUGCUGUAGUGCAUUACGUGAGUAGUCAGUUCUUGAAUGUUCUUCAAUACAAAACUUGGAUUUCUUUUUGAACUUCGUACAGAAACUAUUAUAAGAAUUGUAACUAGUUAUUGCAUAGCACUGCUAUGCAACAUUUUAAAGUAUACACAACUUAAUAAUAAACAUCCUUCGAAAGACUAAUUUAGAGUGGUUUGAUAUACUCUGUUCUUGGUGGUAGCUGGGUGCCAGACACAUGCCUCAGAUGCCAGUCCUUUAAGAUCCAUUACUGUCCCCCAAAAGAGCAGUUAUUACCAUCCACCCCUUCUUCCUAUCUCUACUGGCAGCUGCUAUCUUUGGGUGGAUGUCAGACAAAUACACAAAGAAGCAUUCAUCUACUGCAACAACAUUUAUUGUUUCGAGUGCCCUUUUUUUGCCUCUAGGUAGAAGACUAAAUGGCAAUGUCCUCAGAGCCAAAUUCAGCCUUAGAGUCUCAGCCAGAUCACACUGGAAUAGAUCACAGUAAUAUAUGCCUUUGUGUCUUUGAGCAGGCAGAUAAAAUCACACCUCAGUUGUAAACUUGAACAUGAAUGGAUACAAAUAGAAUGGUUAUCAAUUUCCCAAUUCACAAGGUAUUAAAUAUAGCACUUGGGGCUACUUGAAGAAUUUAACUUCCUGACAUUCAAGGAUGCUUGGAUGCGAGUCUGGGUACUGUGUUAUUUCUGCUUACAAUCUCACAAACAAAGGUUAAGAAAGGGUCUCUGUCUCCAGGGAGCUCGAAGUCACAGCAAUAUUCCUACUGUUUACAUGAAUUGCUAAUGCCAAUUUAUAAAUCUCUCUCUUGUGUCUAUGCCAAAUAGCUAAUAAUGGCACUCUGAACCUGUUGAGCUUUCUGAUAAUUAAGAAAACCAAACAGACUGUGCUUAAAAUGAAGCUCCUGUUUCCUAUGGUAGUAUAUUCAAAGACCGCAGGGAUUUCCCCCCUCCUUCCUCGUGAGCAGCAGGCAACCUCUCCAUUACAGCUGGAAGCCUCAAACAGCAGUACAGGUAAAACGCUAGCUAUUGUGAAAAACAAGUUCCUGGCUCUUGAUUAACAGCUGGAUUUGCUUCCCUCUUUGCUUGCCCAACCAGAUAACUAUGGGAAUGUCAGAGACAGUUUGCAAAAGAAAACAUAAUGUGCAUAGCAUGAUGUCAGAAAUAAGAUAGAGUUAUUAAACUUCAGUUUAACACAGACAAGGGAAUCACUGCUACACAGACAGUUCUGAGGCAUAUAACAGGUUUUCAGUCCUGACUGAGACUGAAGAAAUGGUAGACACCGAGGCAAGUUAUGUAACAAUUUCUCAGAAUCCUAAAAUCGUUUAAGGGGCCUUUAAA